This 253-nucleotide ribosomal RNA is filed under the name uncultured bacterium. Its description in RNAcentral is "partial 16S ribosomal RNA". It matches the Rfam family "Bacterial small subunit ribosomal RNA", at positions 524 to 776 of the family's 1533-position model. The record is from RNAcentral.
UACGUAGGUGGCAAGCGUUGUCCGGAUUUACUGGGCGUAAAGAGCGCGCAGGCGGUCAUUCAAGUCGCGUGUGAAAGCCCCCGGCUCAACUGGGGAGGGUCACGCGAUACUGAUCGACUCGAAGGCAGGAGAGGGAAGUGGAAUUCCCGGUGUAGUGGUGAAAUGCGUAGAUAUCGGGAGGAACACCAGUGGCGAAGGCGACCUCCUGGCCUGUUCUUGACGCUGAGGCGCGAAAGCCAGGGGAGCAAACGGG